Long non-coding RNA from Gossypium raimondii (Peruvian cotton), 1107 nucleotides. RefSeq lists it as uncharacterized. The record is from RefSeq and is a predicted model, not a curated record. The transcript is spliced from 2 exons. Lineage: Eukaryota; Viridiplantae; Streptophyta; Magnoliopsida; Malvales; Malvaceae.
UUUAUCAUCCUUCCAUUUUUGAUCUUUCAUCACUAAAGGGGGCUGCUGAUGUCAAGUUCUUUUCUCUUUGCUCAAGAUGCAACCCAAACAUUAAAGAAAAUAAAACUAGACGAAGCUACUAACGCAAAGCUAGUGUCUGAAAUGAAGAUUGGAGGAGUGAGGCAAUGAAGAAAAAUUGACAACAAGCUGUUUAGUCCAUGCUGCGUUAAAAGACUAGGAACCAGGUUAUUCCAGGUAGCCAUUUAACGAAUUUUUUCUCUAAUAGUUUACACGAAUGAAUUCUUUCUAAUGUGCAGGACAAUACAAAGAUUCAUGGGGAGCUAAUUCGCGUACCUUUUUGGAUUACUUGCUUGGCGCAGUUGGAAGAACUGUAAUCUCUUUAUUUUUCAAGAAAGAACUUGGAGCUCGAGUGAAAUAGCUAAGCCAAACAAUAUUUUUCGGCCUUUAGUGAUGAACCGAAUGGAUACUACGAACUUUCUUUUGGAGAACAGACAAUUGAGAAUUGGGUUCUUAUCAAUACCGAUGGUGAUUCAAGGAAUGCAACUUCUGGGGGAGUAGUGUGCGAUGAGAAUGGGGAUUGGGUCUUUAGGUAUAACUGAUAUAUAAGAAAGUGUUCGGUUUUUUAUGCAAAACUUUGGGGCAUUUUGGAAGGUCUCAAGCUUAUUCAACGUAAACAUCAUGACGAGGUGAUAAUUCAAUCAAAUAGCUUGGAAGUUGUUAAAAGCCAUUCAAGGAAGCAUUUCCAAUGCAUGCAUUUUGUCUCAAAAAGACAAGUGGCUCUUGCGAUACAUUACUAGGGAGUAUAAUUAGGUUGCAGAUUGUUUAGCCAAACUAGCUUUGGCCAAAAUACAAGAUUUGCAGGUGUUUGAUUUCCCUCCAAGGACGAUUCUAGCAUUUCUUGAAACAGACAAGGGAAAAUGUGUUUUUCCACCAACUCUUUUUGCCUUUAGCUUAAUAAAUAUUUAUUACUUGAUUUAAUUUUAGUACUAUGAAUUAAACAAAGGUAAAUAGUUUAUACUUAACUGGCUAAGGGAACGAUUUGAUUUUAUUACUUUAUUAAUCAGCCCUCCACAUUUUAAUUCCGGACCAACAUGAGAGUAUACCAUA